UACGGGGGGAGCAAGCGUUGUUCGGAUUUACUGGGCGUAAAGGGCGCGUAGGCGGUCGUGACAAGUCACUUGUGAAAUCUCCGGGCUUAACUCGGAACGGUCAAGUGAUACUGUCGGACUAGAGUACAGAAGGGGCAACUGGAAUUCUCGGUGUAGCGGUGAAAUGCGUAGAUAUCGGGAGGAACACCAGUGGCGAAGGCGGCGAUCUGGGAAGAUACUGACGCUGAGGUGCGAAAGCGUGGGGAGCAAACAGG
This 254-nucleotide ribosomal RNA is filed under the name uncultured bacterium. RNAcentral describes it as "partial 16S ribosomal RNA". It matches the Rfam family "Bacterial small subunit ribosomal RNA", at positions 524 to 776 of the family's 1533-position model. The record is from RNAcentral.